Molecule: ribosomal RNA, 468 nt
Filed under: uncultured bacterium
Lineage: Bacteria
Description: partial 16S ribosomal RNA
Rfam family: Bacterial small subunit ribosomal RNA
Source: RNAcentral
GACGAACGCUGGCGGCGUGCUUAACACAUGCAAGUCGAACGGAAAGGCCCUGCUUUUGUGGGGUGCUCGAGUGGCGAACGGGUGAGUAACACGUGAGUAACCUGCCCUUGACUUUGGGAUAACUUCAGGAAACUGGGGCUAAUACCGGAUAGGAGCUCCUGCUGCAUGGUGGGGGUUGGAAAGUUUCGGCGGUUGGGGAUGGACUCGCGGCUUAUCAGCUUGUUGGUGGGGUAGUGGCUUACCAAGGCUUUGACGGGUAGCCGGCCUGAGAGGGUGACCGGCCACAUUGGGACUGAGAUGCGGCCCAGACUCCUACGGGAGGCAGAAGUGGGGAAUAUUGCACAAUGGGCGGAAGCCUGAUGCAGCAACGCCACGUGCGGGAUGACGGCCUUCGGGUUGUAAACCGCUUUCGCCUGUGACGAAGCGUGAGUGACGGUAAUGGGUAAAGAAGCACCGGCUAACUACGUG